Thalassophryne amazonica is the source of this 102-nucleotide long non-coding RNA. RefSeq lists it as uncharacterized. The record is from RefSeq and is a predicted model, not a curated record. Lineage: Eukaryota; Metazoa; Chordata; Actinopteri; Batrachoidiformes; Batrachoididae. The transcript is spliced from 4 exons.
UGUCUGCAGGAAGAACGGGACAAAAUAAUACCUGGAACACUUCAUCACUCAGUGUCCUCAACACCAAAAUGUCUUUGAAAGCGUUGUGAGAAGAAACAGGAA